ACGAAGCUAAAAAAUGCUCGUAAAUUCUUAGAAAAAGGCGACAAAGUAAAAGCCGCUGUUCGUUUCCGCGGACGUGCUAUUACGCAUAAAGAAUUAGGACGAGAAGUACUUGAUCGAUUUGCUGAGGAAGUAAAAGAUAUUGCGACUGUUGAGACAAAGCCUAAAAUGGAAGGUCGUAAUAUGUUUAUGAUGCUUGCUCCAGUAAAUGAGAAGUAGAUUUAGAUCGUUAGUUAUAAGGAGGAAAAAUACUAUGCCAAAAAUGAAGACCCAUAAAGGUUCUCA
Molecule: unclassified non-coding RNA, 282 nt
Filed under: Virgibacillus chiguensis
Lineage: Bacteria; Bacillati; Bacillota; Bacilli; Caryophanales; Bacillaceae
Description: Long range pseudoknot
Source: RNAcentral